This 95-nucleotide microRNA precursor is filed under the name Chlorocebus sabaeus (green monkey). RNAcentral describes it as "miRNA (ENSCSAG00000024045.1)". The record is from RNAcentral. Lineage: Eukaryota; Metazoa; Chordata; Mammalia; Primates; Cercopithecidae.
AUGGGUUUGCUCUGUGCCAUCCUCACAACAACCUUGCAGUGUAGAGAUGACUUUUCCUACUUCUCUAGGUUGUUGGGGGCUGGGGGGGAAAAAGA